RNA transcript from Sorghum bicolor (sorghum), 1762 nucleotides. It is a transcript of the gene named protein MULTIPOLAR SPINDLE 1, with no coding region annotated. The transcript is spliced from 11 exons. Lineage: Eukaryota; Viridiplantae; Streptophyta; Magnoliopsida; Poales; Poaceae. The record is from RefSeq and is a predicted model, not a curated record.
UUCCGUGGGCCUCACUGUCCUCUCCUCUCGCGUGCCCGCGCCGCCGCGAUCGCCAAUCGCCAUGGCUCCUCCUCCUCCCAACUCCCGCCUGCCAACGCCGACGGCGUCAGCGGCUACGGGCACCUCCUCGUCGCGAAUAGACUCGCCGUCGCUAAAGGCCGCGCUCGCAAUGGCUCUCAUCCACUACAACCGCCUGCCCGGCAAAGCCAACGCCACCGUCACCGCCACCGCCGCCUCCGCAGGCACAUCGCCCCCGCCUCUUAUCCACUGGAAGCGCAAGGCCAAGGACCGGAAGCGCGAAAUCCUCCGCCUCCGCGAAGAGCUCAAGCUCCUCCAAGAUGGGGCGCGCGGGGAGGAGAUGGAGCCCCCGGUUGCGUCGUGCCGGUGCCACUUCUUCGACGGGUGCGGGGACCUUCCACCGCAGCAGGGUGGCGGUGGUGGGGAGCAUUGGGUUGACGAGGUGCUGAGGAGGAGGUUUCUCAGACUCGUGCGGUGGAAGGAGAAACGACGGCGAGUGGAUCGGCCUCUUCCAAGUUGUAGUUUGAUUGAUUUCAACAGUGAGGAUGAGAUGCAGCAGCUCAGCAUGUCGAUUGAUUUCCUGGUGGAGCUAUCAGACGGCAUUUUUGCCAAAAGAGAAGCUGGCCCCUCAUUUGCUACAUUUUCUCACCAAGCAGUAGAUUUCAUUUUGGCUACACUGAAGAACAUUCUUUCAUCAGAAAGGGAAAAGGAGCUAGUUGGGGAGAUAAUCGAUGGUUUAGUGACUCGUUUGAUGAAAAGGAUGUGCACCGUUCUUGAAAAUCCUGGAUCAACUGGCUGCUCAGAUGCCCAGUUCUCUGUGCAGCAUUUAUUCCGUAAGUUGGGAAAUGAUGAAUUCAUUGGUCAGCGGGUAAUCCUUGCAGUUUCUCAAAAGAUCUCAAAUGUAUCUGAAAGAUUGCUCUUGAUCGAUCCGUUUGAUGAUGCUUUCCCUGAUAUGCAUGACAAUAUAUUCAUCAUGAUUCAGUUACUCGAGUUCCUCAUAUCUGAUUACAUGAAAGUUUGGCUAUGCUGCGAGCAUAUUGACAAAAGACUUUUUGAGGAAUGUACCAGAUCCAUUCUCAAGGCACGCAAUGAUUUGCGAAUCCUGGAAAACAUGAAUGGGCUCUAUGUGGUGUACAUUGAGCGUGUGGUCGGAAGGUUGGCAAGGGAGGUGGCUCCUGCUGCACAUCAAGGAAAGCUUGACCUAGAAGUCUUCUCCAAACUGUUGUGCUGAGAGUGCCUGCAUCUGACUUUCCAAGCCCGACGACCCGGCCUGCUAAAUGCUCAGCCGUGCAGGUGUGUUUGGCUGGCGUGCUGUACUUUGCCUGCACACGUCAAGAUAUGAACACAGGAGAGAUGGAUGUAAGAUACUAGAUGACAUGCUGGGCUAGCUGAGCUCUUGAUGAGCUAUGCGCAGCGGCGACAAGGAAAUAGCUGGACUUUUGCCUAAGCAGUUGCUUUAGUUAGUAGGACAUGCAUGCAUUGGCCUUUAUUAAAUUUCUUGCAUCAUUGUGUCUUGUUAUGUAUAGCUAGUCACCAUCUUCUUCAUCAAUGCAAUAACAAGAAGGCUCUCCUGCUUUGGUCGUUUGAAAAACUAAAUGCACAUACAGCUUCAUGCCCUCAUGCAUGAUAGGGUUAUUAUCGUUGAGCAAGAAGAUGAGAGUGAUGUAAGCGAGAUUAGUAGCUAGGGGAGAAAAUGGCCAUAUAUAGGUGAUCACAUCAGGUUUGCCUCUAUUGUUGCUUGCAA